RNAcentral lists this ribosomal RNA (255 nucleotides) under uncultured bacterium. RNAcentral's name for it is "partial 16S ribosomal RNA". It matches the Rfam family "Bacterial small subunit ribosomal RNA", at positions 526 to 779 of the family's 1533-position model. The record is from RNAcentral.
CGUAGGGGCCGAGCGUUGUCCGGAGUUACUGGGCGUAAAGCGCGCGCAGGCGGCUCGUCAAGCCUGACGUGAAACGCCCCCGGCUCAACCGGGGAGGGUCGUCGGGGACUGGCGAGCUUGAGGUCGGCAGGGGCUGGUGGAAUUCCCGGUGUAGUGGUGAAAUGCGUAGAGAUCGGGAGGAACACCCGUGGCGAAGGCGGCCAGCUGGGCCGUACCUGACGCUGAGGCGCGAAGGCGUGGGGAGCGAACGGGAUU